AUGUUAGUUUUGUGUUUUCCUUUUCCUGUCAUGAUGGCCUCCUUGAGUAUUGUGUUUUCUGUAGUUUCCUAUAAGGACAGAUCUUACUAUGGUCCUCCUGAGUACCAGUGCCCUCACUGCAAGGCUUCUUUUUGGUUUGAGGAGAGGGCCAAUCCAUAUUCUUCAUGUGUGCUACGUAAAAUUGUUUAUAACCUUUGUUGCAAAGGUGGAAAAGUCGUUGUUAAACCUUUCAAAAAUCCUCCUGCUUUAUUGAGUCAUUUAUUAUCCUGUCAUGGUGAUCGUGUUUCCAAGCAAUUCCUGACAAAGAUACCGCAUCACAGUUGGACGGCAUUUACGUCUAUUGUGGCGACGUCAUUCGUUCGCUGGAAGGCACGCAGGGGUUAA
This 384-nucleotide ribosomal RNA is filed under the name Triticum aestivum (bread wheat). RNAcentral describes it as "partial small subunit ribosomal RNA". Lineage: Eukaryota; Viridiplantae; Streptophyta; Magnoliopsida; Poales; Poaceae. The record is from RNAcentral.